Molecule: ribosomal RNA, 253 nt
Filed under: uncultured bacterium
Lineage: Bacteria
Description: partial 16S ribosomal RNA
Rfam family: Bacterial small subunit ribosomal RNA
Source: RNAcentral
UACGUAGGGUGCGAGCGUUAAUCGGAAUUACUGGGCGUAAAGUGUGCGCAGGCGGCCGAGCAAGUCGAGUGUGAAAGCCCCGAGCUUAACUUGGGAACUGCGCUCGAAACUACUUGGCUAGAGUGUGGCAGAGGGAGGUGGAAUUCCACGUGUAGCGGUGAAAUGCGUAGAGAUGUGGAGGAACACCGAAGGCGAAGGCAGUGUCCUGGCUGGUGACUGACGCUGAGGUGCGAAAGCUAGGGGAGCGAACGGG